Molecule: non-coding RNA, 25 nt
Filed under: Mus musculus (house mouse)
Lineage: Eukaryota; Metazoa; Chordata; Mammalia; Rodentia; Muridae
Source: RNAcentral
UGCAAAGGGACUUACGAUGCCAUAA